UGAUCAAUUGUGAUAGGCUUGGCUCUUUUCAACAACAGAUGCCCUGUCCAGGGCCUGAACAGCCAUGUUUGGAAAACAGAUAAACUCACUCUGAACCACUUAAAGUUGAAAGGGGGCAGGACUUACCAGUCAUGACUUAAGGUGAAAAAGAGCAAACUACCUAAGCUUCAUCUUGUAAGAGCUCAUCCAGACAUCAACACCACAUUUAUGUCUCAAAAGGAAUUUGAAACUUUUUCAGUCUGCAUCAAGGCCAAAGAACCAAGUGGAAAAUCUGACUUCCCAAACCUGAUGCCAAUCAUCUUGUACCCUGAAGUAUAAGCUUUGCUUGGCCAUAGGGGCUAAAGGCAUAGAAGAGAGCCAAGGAGCUGAACAACUGACCCUUUUCAUGUAAAGCUCUUGACCCAUAUUCCUCAGAGCUGGCAGUAGAAUUUAUUGAGUGCUGACAGGGUGCUCUGCACUGUACUGAAUUCAGGCAAAGAUAGAAGCCCUAGUCAGAAGACCAGGCAUGAAAACAUUCAAAAUAAAAUGCUUUGCUUU
Molecule: long non-coding RNA, 537 nt
Organism: Sarcophilus harrisii (Tasmanian devil)
Lineage: Eukaryota; Metazoa; Chordata; Mammalia; Dasyuromorphia; Dasyuridae
Exons: 4
Source: RefSeq, a predicted model, not a curated record